This 372-nucleotide ribosomal RNA is filed under the name Klebsiella ornithinolytica. RNAcentral's name for it is "bacterial SSU rRNA". It matches the Rfam family "Bacterial small subunit ribosomal RNA", at positions 1160 to 1531 of the family's 1533-position model. The record is from RNAcentral. Lineage: Bacteria; Pseudomonadati; Pseudomonadota; Gammaproteobacteria; Enterobacterales; Enterobacteriaceae.
UAACUGGAGGAAGGUGGGGAUGACGUCAAGUCAUCAUGGCCCUUACGAGUAGGGCUACACACGUGCUACAAUGGCAUAUACAAAGAGAAGCGACCUCGCGAGAGCAAGCGGACCUCAUAAAGUAUGUCGUAGUCCGGAUUGGAGUCUGCAACUCGACUCCAUGAAGUCGGAAUCGCUAGUAAUCGUAGAUCAGAAUGCUACGGUGAAUACGUUCCCGGGCCUUGUACACACCGCCCGUCACACCAUGGGAGUGGGUUGCAAAAGAAGUAGGUAGCUUAACCUUCGGGAGGGCGCUUACCACUUUGUGAUUCAUGACUGGGGUGAAGUCGUAACAAGGUAACCGUAGGGGAACCUGCGGUUGGAUCACCUCCU